GACGAACGCUGGCGGCGUGCUUAACACAUGCAAGUCGAACGGAAAGGCCCUGCUUUUGUGGCGUUCUCGAUUGGCGAACGGGUGAGUAACACGUGAGUAACCUGCCCUUGACUUUGGGAUAACUUCAGGAAACUGGGGCUAAUACCGGAGAGGAGCUCCUGCUGCAUGGUGGGGGUUGGAAAGUUUCGGCGGUUGGGGAUGGUCUCGCGGCUUAUCAGCUUGCUGGUGGGGUAGUGGCUUACCAAGGCUUUGACGGGUAGCCGGCCUGAGAGGGUGACCGGCCACAUUGGGACUGCGGUACGGACCAGAAUCCUACGGGCGGCAGCAGUGGGGAACAUUGCACAAUGGGCGGAAGCCUGAUGCAGCAACGCCGCGUGCGGGAUGACGGCCUUCGGGUUGUAAACCGCUUUCGACUGUGACGAAGCGUGAGUGACGGUAAUGGGUAAAGAAGCACCGGCUAACUACGUG
RNAcentral lists this ribosomal RNA (468 nucleotides) under uncultured bacterium. RNAcentral's name for it is "partial 16S ribosomal RNA". It matches the Rfam family "Bacterial small subunit ribosomal RNA", at positions 28 to 507 of the family's 1533-position model. The record is from RNAcentral.